Molecule: ribosomal RNA, 497 nt
Filed under: uncultured bacterium
Lineage: Bacteria
Description: partial 16S ribosomal RNA
Rfam family: Bacterial small subunit ribosomal RNA
Source: RNAcentral
GACGAACGCUGGCGGCGUGCCUAAUACAUGCAAGUUGAGCGCUGAAGGUUGGUACUUGUACCAACUGGAUGAGCAGCGAACGGGUGAGUAACGCGUGGGGAAUCUGCCUUUGAGCGGGGGACAACAUUUGGAAACGAAUGCUAAUACCGCAUAAAAACUUUCAACACAAGUUUUAAGUUUGAAAGAUGCAAUUGCAUCACUCAAAGAUGAUCCCGCGUUGUAUUAGCUAGUUGGUGAGGUAAAGGCUCACCAAGGCGAUGAUACAUAGCCGACCUGAGAGGGGGAUCGGCCACAUUGGGACUGAGACACGGCCCAAACUCCUACGGGAGGCAGCAGUAGGGAAUCUUCGGCAAUGGACGAAAGUCUGACCGAGCAACGCCGCGUGAGUGAAGAAGGUUUUCGGAUCGUAAAACUCUGUUGGUAGAGAAGAACGUUGGUGAGAGUGGAAAGCUCAUCAAGUGACGGUAACUACCCAGAAAGGGACGGCUAACUACGUG